Molecule: ribosomal RNA, 253 nt
Filed under: uncultured bacterium
Lineage: Bacteria
Description: partial 16S ribosomal RNA
Rfam family: Bacterial small subunit ribosomal RNA
Source: RNAcentral
UACGUAGGGUGCAAGCGUUAAUCGGAAUUACUGGGCGUAAAGCGUGCGCAGGCGGUUAUGCAAGACAGAGGUGAAAUCCCCGGGCUCAACCUGGGAACUGCCUUUGUGACUGCAUAGCUAGAGUACGGUAGAGGGGGAUGGAAUUCCGCGUGUAGCAGUGAAAUGCGUAGAGAUGCGGAGGAACACCGAUGGCGAAGGCAGCCCCCUGGGCUAACACUGACGCUCAGGCACGAAAGCGUGGGGAGCAAACAGG